GCACUCUCCUGGGCAAUUCUGUUUCAGAGCUAUGCUGGAAACAGCAUAGCAAGUUGAAAUAAGGCUAGUCCGUUAUCAACUUGAAAAAGUGGCACCGAGUCGGUGCUUUUUUU
This 113-nucleotide small RNA is filed under the name Vector pAAVsc_gSerpina1c. Its description in RNAcentral is "Serpina1c-gRNA3". The stretch from base 22 to 113 matches the Rfam family "Trans-activating crRNA". From Rfam's summary of the family: RNA-guided Streptococcus pyogenes Cas9 (SpCas9) is a sequence-specific DNA endonuclease, the Trans-activating CRISPR RNA form an hybrid with the crRNA (crRNA/tracrRNA). The RNA hybrid acts as a guide for the endonuclease Cas9. The record is from RNAcentral.